AUGGCCCCUCCGCUGCGCCGGCACCACACCCGGCCCCCCACCUGUCGUCCGCCGCCGUGCCUCCACCGCGUGACCUCGCUUCGUCCUCCUCCUGCCCCAACACCUCGUCUACCCGCUCCGCCUCUCCCAGUCUCCCUCCUCGCGCUCUCCUUGCUCUCCGCGUUGCCGUCCUCCUCCCCGCACGGCGCCUCCCUCUCCCUCUCCCUGUCCCGCGCAUCCUCCUCCCAGUACGCUUCCGCAUCCUCGUCCCUCUCCCACGCUUCAUCCCUCUCCUCCUUCCCACCUGCCGCCACUGUCGCCACUGCCACGCUUCGGCUUCUCGCCACCUCUUCCGCCUCCGCCGCCGUCCUUCACCCGUCACUACCCGCCAGAAUCACUCCGGAGUCAGGACCAAUAUUCGGCUUCCCACGUACCGUUCUCUGUUGUCAAGAUUCAUCAGCUCACCCUUGCCCGCGUCCUGUUCGAUGCAAUGCCGCACUCUUUGUUCUUAUGAAAUGCUGCAGUCUGGUGUUCGCCUGGUCCUUCGCGCCUCGCUGCUCUCCUGGUCCUAGGCCCUGUGACUGGGUCACCCUCCGCCUCUCCCACGCGGGCCUCACCUUGCUCACCCUCUGCGACUCAUCCGGCAUGGUCCAGGCGACAGCUCUGCCAGAAUACCUUCAAGCUUACUCUAUUGUGAAUAGGCUGAGAGUGGAAUAA
This 696-nucleotide ribosomal RNA is filed under the name Triticum aestivum (bread wheat). RNAcentral describes it as "partial small subunit ribosomal RNA". Lineage: Eukaryota; Viridiplantae; Streptophyta; Magnoliopsida; Poales; Poaceae. The record is from RNAcentral.